UGCGAAUGGCUCAUUAUAUAAGUUAUCGUUUAUUUGAUAGUGCCUUACUACUUGGAUAACCGUGGUAAUUCUAGAGCUAAUACAUGCUGAAAAUCCCGACUUCGGAAGGGAUGUGUUUAUUAGAUUAAAAACCAAUGCCCUCUGGGCUCCUUGGUGAUUCAUGAUAACUGUUCGAAUCGCAUGGCCUUGCGCCGGCGAUGGUUCAUUCAAAUUUCUUCCCUAUCAACUUUCGAUGUUUGGGUAUUGGCCAAACAUGGUCGCAACGGGUAACGGAGGGUUAGGGCUCGACCCCGGAGAAGGAGCCUGAGAAACGGCUACUACAUCCAAGGAAGGCAGCAGGCGCGCAAAUUACCCAAUCCCGAUCCGGGGAGGUAGUGACAAUAAAUACUGAUACAGGGCUCUUUUGGGUCUUGUAAUUGGAAUGAGUACAAUUUAAAUCCCUUAACGAGGAACAAUUGGAGGGCAAGUCUGGUGCCAGCAGCCGCGGUAAUUCCAGCUCCAAUAGCGUAUAUUAAAGUUGUUGUGGUUAAAAAGCUCGUAGUUGAACCUUGGGCCUGGCUGGCCGGUCCGCCUCACCGCGUGCACUGGUCCGGCCGGGCCUUUCCCUCUGCGGAACCCCAUGCCCUUCACUGGGUGUGGCGGGGAAGCAGGACUUUUACUUUGAAAAAAUUAGAGUGCUUCAGGCAGGCCUAUGCUCGAAUACAUUAGCAUGGAAUAAUGAAAUAGGACGCGCGGUUCUAUUUUGUUGGUUUCUGGGACCGCCGUAAUGGUUAAUAGGGACAGUCGGGGGCAUCAGUAUUCAAUCGUUAGAGGUGAAAUUCUUGGAUCGAUUGAAGACUAACUACUGCGAAAGCAUUUGCCAAGGAUGUUUUCAUUAAUCAGGAACGAAAGUUAGGGGAUCGAAGACGAUCAGAUACCGUCGUAGUCUUAACCAUAAACUAUGCCGACUAGGGAUCGGACGACGUUAAUUUUUGACGCGUUCGGCACCUUACGAGAAAUCAAAGU
This 1005-nucleotide ribosomal RNA is filed under the name Hevansia nelumboides. RNAcentral describes it as "SSU rRNA". It matches the Rfam family "Eukaryotic small subunit ribosomal RNA", at positions 88 to 1104 of the family's 1831-position model. The record is from RNAcentral. Lineage: Eukaryota; Fungi; Ascomycota; Sordariomycetes; Hypocreales; Cordycipitaceae.